RNAcentral lists this ribosomal RNA (497 nucleotides) under uncultured bacterium. RNAcentral describes it as "partial 16S ribosomal RNA". It matches the Rfam family "Bacterial small subunit ribosomal RNA", at positions 28 to 507 of the family's 1533-position model. The record is from RNAcentral.
GAUGAACGCUGGCGGCGUGCCUAAUACAUGCAAGUCGAGCGAACAGACGAGGAGCUUGCUCCUCUGACGUUAGCGGCGGACGGGUGAGUAACACGUGGAUAACCUACCUAUAAGACUGGGACAACUUCGGGAAACCGGAGCUAAUACCGGAUAAUAUAUUGAACCGCAUGGUUCAAUAGUGAAAGACGGUUUUGCUGUCACUUAUAGAUGGAUCCGCGCCGCAUUAGCUAGUUGGUAAGGUAACGGCUUACCAAGGCAACGAUGCGUAGCCGACCUGAGAGGGUGAUCGGCCACACUGGAACUGAGACACGGUCCAGACUCCUACGGGAGGCAGCAGUAGGGAAUCUUCCGCAAUGGGCGAAAGCUUGACGGAGCAACGCCGCGUGAGUGAUGAAGGUCUUCGGAUCGUAAAACUCUGUUAUUAGGGAAGAACAAAUGUGUAAGUAACUAUGCACGUCUUGACGGUACCUAAUCAGAAAGCCACGGCUAACUACGUG